Molecule: long non-coding RNA, 1111 nt
Filed under: Ananas comosus (pineapple)
Lineage: Eukaryota; Viridiplantae; Streptophyta; Magnoliopsida; Poales; Bromeliaceae
Description: long non-coding RNA (ACOM_LNC033614)
Source: RNAcentral
AUAGAGUUGGGCUAGAAUACUAUUGAUAGCAAAACGUCAUUUUUGCUAUCAAGUUUUUAGCCUUUGGAUCAACUCUUUUUAUAAUUUCUAAUCAUUGGAUUCAAUACUAUAAACCAGUGGGGACCACUCAACCCUAGAGGGACCACUCAAUUCUAACUGACUAACAUCAUCCUAUCCCUACAAUUUCUCAUCCAAGGGUUAAAAACUUGAUAGCAAAAAGAGCGUUUUGCUAUCAAUAGUAUUCCAGCCUAAUUCUAUAUAUAUAUAUAUAUAUAUAUAUAUACACACUAGGGUUACUAUAUUCUUAUGAGUAUAAAUCUCUUUAUACUUAUAAAUUUUGAUCGUUGGAUGAAGGGAUAUACGGUUAGGAUGAUAGUGAUCCACGGUUAGGAUGAUAGUAGUUCUCUAGGGUUGAGUGGGUGCAUGAUUGGUUGAAUAGUAUGAUCUAAUGAAUGGAAAUAGUCAAAAUAGCAGAUCUAACAGCCGAAAGCUUAUGAGUAUAAAAGAGACUAUACUCAUAAAAUACAGUAACCGGACUAUUUACGCUAUAUAUACAGAGAGAGAGAGAGAGAGUAAGGCUAUUAUACUCUUAUAAGUGUAGAGUUCGUUGUACUCAUAAGUUGUUUUUAAUGAUGAAGCUUCCGAAUAGACGUUACACACCAUUAAAUUAUGAUUUAGAGUAUUUGAAACUUUAUAAAAUAAAUUUUGUAAUUUUUCGAAAUUAUAAUAAAGUUCAUCAAAUGGAUGUAAAAUGGACGGUCAAAAUUAAACGACAUUCUAAAAGUAGAUGAUUGGAUCCUUCAAUUUAAGGUCCGAGUUGUUGAUCUUUAUUUAAAUAGUGAAUGAAAUUUUCUAGCAAAAAUUCAACUAAUUCCGAUUCUUUUACACCAUUAAACUAGUAAAUAUUUCAUAUCGGCCAUUAAAAUUUAUCAAUUUUGAGAUCUUUUGAUCAUAAGGCAAAUGAUGUCAAAAUAUUAUAAAAUUUAAUAUUUACAAGUUUCAAAUACUCUAAAUUAUAUUUAAAAUAUGAAUCGUUGAUUCAGAAAUUUUAUCAUCGAAAACGAUUUAUGAGUACGAAGAGGAUGGUAUUUAUAAGAGUAAAGAAGCUGAA